AACGGCCGCAGUACUUUGACUGUGCUAAGGUAGCAAAAUAAAUUGGCUUUUAAUUUAAGUCGAGUAUGAAUGGCGUCAUGGGUGUAAGCUGUCUCAGUUAAUUAUUUUUAUGAAUUUAACCUGUAGGUGAAAACGCCUACGAAUAAAUAUUAGACGAGAAGACCCUUAGAGUUUUUAAUAUGUAGUACUGUAUUAUUCAUUCUUUUUUGUUGGGGCGACAAAGUAUCAUAUAAAGCAUACUUAAUUAAUAAAGACAAGUCUUCCUUAAAAAUGAGUAUAACUACCUAAGGGAUAACAGCAUAAUUUUUUUUUAAGAUUGUGACCUGAUGUUGGACUAGGGACUUAAUAUAUUAGCCAUAUA
This 361-nucleotide ribosomal RNA is filed under the name Arion subfuscus. RNAcentral's name for it is "partial 16S ribosomal RNA". The stretch from base 1 to 140 matches the Rfam family "Archaeal large subunit ribosomal RNA", at positions 2003 to 2143 of the family's 2987-position model. Lineage: Eukaryota; Metazoa; Mollusca; Gastropoda; Stylommatophora; Arionidae. The record is from RNAcentral.